This 76-nucleotide transfer RNA is filed under the name Ktedonobacter sp. 13_1_20CM_3_54_15. RNAcentral's name for it is "tRNA-Ala". It matches the Rfam family "tRNA". Rfam says of the family: Transfer RNA (tRNA) molecules are approximately 80 nucleotides in length. Their secondary structure includes four short double-helical elements and three loops (D, anti-codon, and T loops). Lineage: Bacteria; Bacillati; Chloroflexota; Ktedonobacteria; Ktedonobacterales; Ktedonobacteraceae. The record is from RNAcentral. RNAcentral also lists the same sequence under 9 other names.
GGGCCUGUAGCGCAGCUGGAAGAGCGCAUCCAUGGCAUGGAUGAGGUCAGGGGUUCGAGCCCCCUCAGGUCCACCA